Molecule: ribosomal RNA, 1372 nt
Filed under: uncultured bacterium
Lineage: Bacteria
Description: bacterial SSU rRNA
Rfam family: Bacterial small subunit ribosomal RNA
Source: RNAcentral
GAUGAACGCUGGCGGCGUGCCUAAUACAUGCAAGUCGAGCGAACGGACGAGAAGCUUGCUUCUCUGAUGUUAGCGGCGGACGGGUGAGUAACACGUGGAUAACCUACCUAUAAGACUGGGAUAACUUCGGGAAACCGGAGCUAAUACCGGAUGAUAUUUUGAACCGCAUGGUUCAAAAGUGAAAGACGGUCUUGCUGUCACUUAUAGAUGGAUCCGCGCUGCAUUAGCUAGUUGGUAAGGUAACGGCUUACCAAGGCAACGAUGCAUAGCCGACCUGAGAGGGUGAUCGGCCACACUGGAACUGAGACACGGUCCAGACUCCUACGGGAGGCAGCAGUAGGGAAUCUUCCGCAAUGGGCGAAAGCCUGACGGAGCAACGCCGCGUGAGUGAUGAAGGUCUUCGGAUCGUAAAACUCUGUUAUUAGGGAAGAACAUAUGUGUAAGUAACUGUGCACAUCUUGACGGUACCUAAUCAGAAAGCCACGGCUAACUACGUGCCAGCAGCCGCGGUAAUACGUAGGUGGCAAGCGUUAUCCGGAAUUAUUGGGCGUAAAGCGCGCGUAGGCGGUUUUUUAAGUCUGAUGUGAAAGCCCACGGCUCAACCGUGGAGGGUCAUUGGAAACUGGAAAACUUGAGUGCAGAAGAGGAAAGUGGAAUUCCAUGUGUAGCGGUGAAAUGCGCAGAGAUAUGGAGGAACACCAGUGGCGAAGGCGACUUUCUGGUCUGUAACUGACGCUGAUGUGCGAAAGCGUGGGGAUCAAACAGGAUUAGAUACCCUGGUAGUCCACGCCGUAAACGAUGAGUGCUAAGUGUUAGGGGGUUUCCGCCCCUUAGUGCUGCAGCUAACGCAUUAAGCACUCCGCCUGGGGAGUACGACCGCAAGGUUGAAACUCAAAGGAAUUGACGGGGACCCGCACAAGCGGUGGAGCAUGUGGUUUAAUUCGAAGCAACGCGAAGAACCUUACCAAAUCUUGACAUCCUUUGACAACUCUAGAGAUAGAGCCUUCCCCUUCGGGGGACAAAGUGACAGGUGGUGCAUGGUUGUCGUCAGCUCGUGUCGUGAGAUGUCGGGUUAAGUCCCGCAACGAGCGCAACCCUUAAGCUUAGUUGCCAUCAUUAAGUUGGGCACUCUAAGUUGACUGCCGGUGACAAACCGGAGGAAGGUGGGGAUGACGUCAAAUCAUCAUGCCCCUUAUGAUUUGGGCUACACACGUGCUACAAUGGACAAUACAAGGGGCAGCGAAACCGCGAGGUCAAGCAAAUCCCAUAAAGUUGUUCUCAGUUCGGAUUGUAGUCUGCAACUCGACUACAUGAAGCUGGAAUCGCUAGUAAUCGUAGAUCAGCAUGCUACGGUGAAUACGUUCCCGGGUCU